Molecule: ribosomal RNA, 497 nt
Filed under: uncultured bacterium
Lineage: Bacteria
Description: partial 16S ribosomal RNA
Rfam family: Bacterial small subunit ribosomal RNA
Source: RNAcentral
GAUGAACGCUGGCGGCGUGCCUAAUACAUGCAAGUCGAGCGAACAGACGAGGAGCUUGCUCCUCUGACGUUAGCGGCGGACGGGUGAGUAACACGUGGAUAACCUACCUAUAAGACUGGGAUAACUUCGGGAAACCGGAGCUAAUACCGGAUAAUAUAUUGAACCGCAUGGUUCAAUAGUGAAAGACGGUUUUGCUGUCACUUAUAGAUGGAUCCGCGCCGCAUUAGCUAGUUGGUAAGGUAACGGCUUACCAAGGCAACGAUGCGUAGCCGACCUGAGAGAGUGAUCGGCCACACUGGAACUGAGACACGGUCCAGACUCCUACGGGAGGCAGCAGUAGGGAAUCUUCCGCAAUGGGCGAAAGCCUGACGGAGCAACGCCGCGUGAGUGAUGAAGGUCUUCGGAUCGUAAAACUCUGUUAUUAGGGAAAAACAAAUGUGUAAGUAACUAUGCACGUCUUGACGGUACCUAAUCAGAAAGCCACGGCUAACUACGUG